GGGUUGUGAGGUUAAGCGACUAAGCGUACACGGUGGAUGCCCUGGCAGUCAGAGGCGAUGAAGGACGUGCUAAUCUGCGAUAAGCGUCGGUAAGGUGAUAUGAACCGUUAUAACCGGCGAUUUCCGAAUGGGGAAACCCAGUGUGAUUCGUCACACUAUCAUUAACUGAAUCCAUAGGUUAAUGAGGCGAACCGGGGGAACUGAAACAUCUAAGUACCCGAGGAAAAGAAAUCAACCGAGAUUCCCCCAGUAGCGGCGAGCGAACGGGGAGCAGCCCAGAGCCUGAAUCAGUGUGUGUGUUAGUGGAAGCGUCUGGAAAGGCGUGCGAUACAGGGUGACAGCCCCGUACACAAAAAUGCACAUAUUGUGAGCUCGAUGAGUAGGGCGGGACACGUGGUAUCCUGUCUGAAUAUGGGGGGACCAUCCUCCAAGGCUAAAUACUCCUGACUGACCGAUAGUGAACCAGUACCGUGAGGGAAAGGCGAAAAGAACCCCGGCGAGGGGAGUGAAAAAGAACCUGAAACCGUGUACGUACAAGCAGUGGGAGCACGCUUAGGCGUGUGACUGCGUACCUUUUGUAUAAUGGGUCAGCGACUUAUAUUCUGUAGCAAGGUUAACCGAAUAGGGGAGCCGAAGGGAAACCGAGUCUUAACUGGGCGUUAAGUUGCAGGGUAUAGACCCGAAACCCGGUGAUCUAGCCAUGGGCAGGUUGAAGGUUGGGUAACACUAACUGGAGGACCGAACCGACUAAUGUUGAAAAAUUAGCGGAUGACUUGUGGCUGGGGGUGAAAGGCCAAUCAAACCGGGAGAUAGCUGGUUCUCCCCGAAAGCUAUUUAGGUAGCGCCUCGUGAAUUCAUCUCCGGGGGUAGAGCACUGUUUCGGCAAGGGGGUCAUCCCGACUUACCAACCCGAUGCAAACUGCGAAUACCGGAGAAUGUUAUCACGGGAGACACACGGCGGGUGCUAACGUCCGUCGUGAAGAGGGAAACAACCCAGACCGCCAGCUAAGGUCCCAAAGUCAUGGUUAAGUGGGAAACGAUGUGGGAAGGCCCAGACAGCCAGGAUGUUGGCUUAGAAGCAGCCAUCAUUUAAAGAAAGCGUAAUAGCUCACUGGUCGAGUCGGCCUGCGCGGAAGAUGUAACGGGGCUAAACCAUGCACCGAAGCUGCGGCAGCGACGCUUAUGCGUUGUUGGGUAGGGGAGCGUUCUGUAAGCCUGCGAAGGUGUGCUGUGAGGCAUGCUGGAGGUAUCAGAAGUGCGAAUGCUGACAUAAGUAACGAUAAAGCGGGUGAAAAGCCCGCUCGCCGGAAGACCAAGGGUUCCUGUCCAACGUUAAUCGGGGCAGGGUGAGUCGACCCCUAAGGCGAGGCCGAAAGGCGUAGUCGAUGGGAAACAGGUUAAUAUUCCUGUACUUGGUGUUACUGCGAAGGGGGGACGGAGAAGGCUAUGUUGGCCGGGCGACGGUUGUCCCGGUUUAAGCGUGUAGGCUGGUUUUCCAGGCAAAUCCGGAAAACUAAGGCUGAGGCGUGAUGACGAGGCACUACGGUGCUGAAGCAACAAAUGCCCUGCUUCCAGGAAAAGCCUCUAAGCAUCAGGUAACAUCAAAUCGUACCCCAAACCGACACAGGUGGUCAGGUAGAGAAUACCAAGGCGCUUGAGAGAACUCGGGUGAAGGAACUAGGCAAAAUGGUGCCGUAACUUCGGGAGAAGGCACGCUGAUAUGUAGGUGAAGUCCCUCGCGGAUGGAGCUGAAAUCAGUCGAAGAUACCAGCUGGCUGCAACUGUUUAUUAAAAACACAGCACUGUGCAAACACGAAAGUGGACGUAUACGGUGUGACGCCUGCCCGGUGCCGGAAGGUUAAUUGAUGGGGUUAGCGCAAGCGAAGCUCUUGAUCGAAGCCCCGGUAAACGGCGGCCGUAACUAUAACGGUCCUAAGGUAGCGAAAUUCCUUGUCGGGUAAGUUCCGACCUGCACGAAUGGCGUAAUGAUGGCCAGGCUGUCUCCACCCGAGACUCAGUGAAAUUGAACUCGCUGUGAAGAUGCAGUGUACCCGCGGCAAGACGGAAAGACCCCGUGAACCUUUACUAUAGCUUGACACUGAACAUUGAGCCUUGAUGUGUAGGAUAGGUGGGAGGCUUGGAAGUGUGGACGCCAGUCUGCAUGGAGCCGACCUUGAAAUACCACCCUUUAAUGUUUGAUGUUCUAACGUUGACCCGUAAUCCGGGUUGCGGACAGUGUCUGGUGGGUAGUUUGACUGGGGCGGUCUCCUCCUAAAGAGUAACGGAGGAGCACGAAGGUUGGCUAAUCCUGGUCGGACAUCAGGAGGUUAGUGCAAUGGCAUAAGCCAGCUUGACUGCGAGCGUGACGGCGCGAGCAGGUGCGAAAGCAGGUCAUAGUGAUCCGGUGGUUCUGAAUGGAAGGGCCAUCGCUCAACGGAUAAAAGGUACUCCGGGGAUAACAGGCUGAUACCGCCCAAGAGUUCAUAUCGACGGCGGUGUUUGGCACCUCGAUGUCGGCUCAUCACAUCCUGGGGCUGAAGUAGGUCCCAAGGGUAUGGCUGUUCGCCAUUUAAAGUGGUACGCGAGCUGGGUUUAGAACGUCGUGAGACAGUUCGGUCCCUAUCUGCCGUGGGCGCUGGAGAACUGAGGGGGGCUGCUCCUAGUACGAGAGGACCGGAGUGGACGCAUCACUGGUGUUCGGGUUGUCAUGCCAAUGGCACUGCCCGGUAGCUAAAUGCGGAAGAGAUAAGUGCUGAAAGCAUCUAAGCACGAAACUUGCCCCGAGAUGAGUUCUCCCUGACUCCUUGAGAGUCCUGAAGGAACGUUGAAGACGACGACGUUGAUAGGCCGGGUGUGUAAGCGCAGCGAUGCGUUGAGCUAACCGGUACUAAUGAACCGUGAGGCUUAACCUUACAACGCCGAAGGUGUUU
This 2930-nucleotide ribosomal RNA is filed under the name Shigella sonnei. RNAcentral's name for it is "23S ribosomal RNA". It matches the Rfam family "Bacterial large subunit ribosomal RNA". The record is from RNAcentral. Lineage: Bacteria; Pseudomonadati; Pseudomonadota; Gammaproteobacteria; Enterobacterales; Enterobacteriaceae.